RNAcentral lists this ribosomal RNA (254 nucleotides) under uncultured bacterium. RNAcentral describes it as "partial 16S ribosomal RNA". It matches the Rfam family "Bacterial small subunit ribosomal RNA", at positions 524 to 776 of the family's 1533-position model. The record is from RNAcentral.
UACGUAGGGGGCGAGCGUUGUCCGGAAUCAUUGGGCGUAAAGAGCUCGUAGGCGGUUCGCUAAGUCAGGUGUGAAAUCUCCACGCUCAACGUGGAGGGGCCACCUGAUACUGGCGUGACUCGAGUCCGGUAGGGGAGUGUGGAAUUCCCGGUGUAGCGGUGAAAUGCGCAGAUAUCGGGAGGAACACCAAUGGCGAAGGCAGCUCGCUGGGACGUGACUGACGCUGAGACGCGAAAGCGUGGGGAGCAAACAGG